This is a transfer RNA of Shewanella woodyi ATCC 51908, 73 nucleotides long. It matches the Rfam family "tRNA". From Rfam's summary of the family: Transfer RNA (tRNA) molecules are approximately 80 nucleotides in length. Their secondary structure includes four short double-helical elements and three loops (D, anti-codon, and T loops). NCBI's taxonomy places the organism in Bacteria, Pseudomonadati, Pseudomonadota, Gammaproteobacteria, Alteromonadales, Shewanellaceae. The record is from Rfam.
GGUCGAUUAGCUCAGCUGGGAGAGCACCUCCCUUACAAGGAGGGGGUCACUGGUUCGAGCCCAGUAUCGACCA